This 468-nucleotide ribosomal RNA is filed under the name uncultured bacterium. Its description in RNAcentral is "partial 16S ribosomal RNA". It matches the Rfam family "Bacterial small subunit ribosomal RNA", at positions 28 to 507 of the family's 1533-position model. The record is from RNAcentral.
GACGAACGCUGGCGGCGUGCUUAAUACAUGCAAGUCGAACGGACAGGCCAUGCUCUUGCUGGUUGCUCGUUAGCCGCACGCGUGAGAAACACGCGAGUAACCCGUCCUUAUCUUUCGGGUAUAUUUUGGAAACUGGGGCUCUUAUACGAUAGAAGAUCCUGAAGCACGGUGGGGAUCGGAGAGAUUCGGCGGUUGGGGCUGGUCUCGAGGCUUAUCAGCUUGAUGGGCGGGUAGUGGCUUUCCAGGGUUUCGACGGGUAGCCGGCCUGAGAGGGUUAACGGCCACAAGGGGACUGAGAGACGGCCCAGUCGCCUACGGUAGGCAGCAGGCGAGAGUAUGGCGCAAUGGGCGGAAGCCUGAUGCAGCAACGCCGCGUGCGUGAUGACGGCCUACGGGUGGUAAACCGCUGUCGCCUGUGACAAAGCGGGAGUGACGGUAAUGGGUAAAGAAGCACCGGCUAACUACGUG